UUUCCGUAGGUGAACCUGCGGAAGGAUCAUUAAGGUUAUAGUCCCCCGGCCCCUCCGGGCUGGGGUCUUCUAUACCACCCUUUGUUUAUUACACCUUUGUUGCUUUGGCAGGCCUGCCCUCGGGCUGCUGGCUCCGGCCGGCUCGUGCCUGCCAGAGGACCUAAACUCUGUUUGUAUAUGAAGUCUGAGUACUAUAUAAUAGUUAAAACUUUCAACAACGGAUCUCUUGGUUCUG
Molecule: unclassified non-coding RNA, 235 nt
Filed under: plant metagenome
Description: partial contains small subunit ribosomal RNA, internal transcribed spacer 1, and 5.8S ribosomal RNA
Source: RNAcentral